RNAcentral lists this ribosomal RNA (253 nucleotides) under uncultured bacterium. Its description in RNAcentral is "partial 16S ribosomal RNA". It matches the Rfam family "Bacterial small subunit ribosomal RNA", at positions 524 to 776 of the family's 1533-position model. The record is from RNAcentral.
UACGUAGGGUGCAAGCGUUGUUCGGAAUUAUUGGGCGUAAAGAGCUCGUAGGCGGCUUGUCGCGUCGGUUGUGAAAACUCGGGGCUCAACCCCGAGCCUGCAGUCGAUACGGGCAGGCUAGAGUCCGGCAGGGGAGACUGGAAUUCCUGGUGUAGCGGUGAAAUGCGCAGAUAUCAGGAGGAACACCGGUGGCGAAGGCGGGUCUCUGGGCCGGAACUGACGCUAAGGAGCGAAAGCGUGGGGAGCGAACAGG